RNAcentral lists this ribosomal RNA (401 nucleotides) under uncultured bacterium. RNAcentral's name for it is "bacterial SSU rRNA". It matches the Rfam family "Bacterial small subunit ribosomal RNA", at positions 355 to 772 of the family's 1533-position model. The record is from RNAcentral.
UCGGGAAUUUUGGGCAAUGGGCGAAAGCCUGACCCAGCAACGCCGCGUGAAGGAUGAAGUAUUUCGGUAUGUAAACUUCGAAAGAAUGGGAAGAAUAAAUGACGGUACCAUUUAUAAGCUCCGGCUAACUACGUGCCAGCAGCCGCGGUAAUACGUAGGGAGCAAGCGUUGUUCGGAUUUACUGGGCGUAAAGGGCGCGUAGGCGGCCACCGCAAGUCGACUGUGAAAUCUCCGGGCUUAACUCGGAAAGGUCAGCCGAUACUGCGGGGCUAGAGUGCAGAAGGGGCAACUGGAAUUCUCGGUGUAGCGGUGAAAUGCGUAGAUAUCGAGAGGAACACCUGCGGCGAAGGCGGGUUGCUGGGCUGACACUGACGCUGAGGCGCGAAAGCUAGGGGAGCGAA